This 206-nucleotide ribosomal RNA is filed under the name uncultured bacterium. RNAcentral describes it as "partial 16S ribosomal RNA". It matches the Rfam family "Bacterial small subunit ribosomal RNA", at positions 568 to 775 of the family's 1533-position model. The record is from RNAcentral.
UGCGUAGGCGGCGCGGUAAGUCGGGUGUGAAAUCUCGGAGCUUAACUCCGAAACUGCAUUCGAUACUGCCGUGCUUGAGGACUGGGGAGGAGACUGGAAUUUACGGUGUAGCGGUGAAAUGCGUAGAUAUCGUAAGGAAGACCAGUGGCGAAGGCGGGUCUCUGGACAGUUCCUGACGCUGAGGCACGAAGUAGGGAGGCAAACGG